AUGGCCGGUGCACAAGGAAAGCAACAACGCACCAUCUCGGGUGGUUCCAAGUCGCGGCCAUCACAGGACGGCUCCCAGUCGCCGCCUUCGGAGGAGCGGCGAGGGCGCAGCCGGUCGAGGCAUGACCAUCACGGUGAGGUCAUGGUUAGGGAGAUCGUGCGCGAGACCGCAAUCAGCGGUAGCGUACCCAUCACCUUCCUGAUGCUCACGCGCUCGAACUACAACGAGUGGGCGUUGAUCAUGGAGUGCAACCUCCAUGCCGCGAGCCUCUGGGUUCCCAUGGAGGGCGACCUGGUCGAGAGAAAGGAGGACAGGAAAGCCGCGGCGGCACUCAUGCACGCCACGCUGCCGGAGAUGCACGGCAUGCUCGCGGCGAAGGCAAGCGCCAAGGAGGCGUGGGAAGCCAUCCGUACCCAGUGCCUCGGCAGCAACCGCGUGCGCGAGGCGAACACGCAGAAGCUGCGGGCGGACUUCGAGAACAUCACCUUCAAGGAGGGCGAGCUCGUCGACGACUUCGCCAUGCGGAUCUCUAGCCUUGCAUCGCAGCUCCGCGCGCUCGGCGACACCAUGGACGACGCGAGUCGUGAGGAAAUUUCUCCGCAUCAUGCCACCUCGCUUCGCUCAGGUAGCGGUCUCCAUCGAGACUUUGCUUGA
Molecule: ribosomal RNA, 654 nt
Filed under: Triticum aestivum (bread wheat)
Lineage: Eukaryota; Viridiplantae; Streptophyta; Magnoliopsida; Poales; Poaceae
Description: partial small subunit ribosomal RNA
Source: RNAcentral